RNAcentral lists this transfer RNA (84 nucleotides) under Patescibacteria group bacterium. RNAcentral's name for it is "tRNA-Leu". It matches the Rfam family "tRNA". From Rfam's summary of the family: Transfer RNA (tRNA) molecules are approximately 80 nucleotides in length. Their secondary structure includes four short double-helical elements and three loops (D, anti-codon, and T loops). The record is from RNAcentral.
GCCUGGAUGGCGGAAUUGGUAGACGCAGCGGACUUAAAAUCCGCCUCUCGAAAGAGAGUACCGGUUCGAUUCCGGUUCCAGGCA